This 1568-nucleotide long non-coding RNA is filed under the name Homo sapiens (human). Its description in RNAcentral is "LHRI_LNC168.2". The record is from RNAcentral. Lineage: Eukaryota; Metazoa; Chordata; Mammalia; Primates; Hominidae.
GCGUCCUCAGCUGGUCCUAGACAUGCGUGGCGUCGGGGCUGUGGCACGGUCGGGUCCGGGGACACUUGUUUAACAAGACAUCUGCCCAUGUCCCUGGCCCAUCUCAUUGGCUGCAGCACAUCACAGUGGACCUUCUGCCUCCUCCCAGAUGCCCAGGGACAGUGAUCUGGAAGGAAGGGGCUUGAGGCUGUUUUCCUAGAACUCGACUUGAAUGCACCAAGGAAAGGCCAUUUGUGGGGACAUAGCAAGAAGGCAGCUGUCUGCAAGCCAGGAGGAGAACCCUCACCAGAAACCUCACAGAAAUCGGCCAACACCCUCAUCUCGGGCUUCCAGCUUCAGAACAACGAGAAAACAAAUUUCUGUUGUGUCCUGGUUCCCAUUUGUAAUUGGCACCCUAAUGAAACCGUUUUCUGUAGCCCUGGAAAUGGCUGAAAAUGAGGGGAGGGAAAUAAAGUGCUAUAAUUCAGAGCAUGGAGCACACCUUCCUGGUUCACCUGAGCUGGAUUCGGAGAGGUAAAAUGGCCAUUACCUCGUCUAAGCUGCCACUUACAGACACAGUACAGGAUGAGGCCCAGACCCACAGAGACAACGAUGAUGGCCACAGCUAAGAUGAUCCAGAAAUUAUUCCUCCACCAGCUCAUUGCAGUGGAAUCCUGAGAAGAAUGGAGAGAGAAGAAUGAGAGGGCAAAAGCAGAUGGCUACACCGAGAACUCACGCCAGCCCAACACACUUUGAUCUCGAGGCCUCUGGAAGGGAAGGUGCCUAAUGAACUACUGAAAGCCAGAGAUGCAAUGACAAAGCAGUCGUACCAGGGCCCCAGGCUGCAAUCCCCUGGCCCAGUGCUGAUCGGUGGCUCCCAGGGACACGCCCUGAUGCCAGCGCUGGCAGAUGUCUGCUGUGAAGAGAGCAGGAAACUGUCCCUUGGAAAGCUGAGAUGCUUACCUGAACUGUGAAAGUAUCCAUAUGUGAGCAGCUAAGGAGACAGCAGUGGCUGGAGUGCUGCAGCUCAGGCACAGCUGGGAAGCUCAUGACCCACGGCUGUCCAGAAGCCAGAAUCUUCUCACUGCCCCGUGUCGCUCCCGCAAGGCCUACCAGAGGACCCUCAUGGUGUGGUAGGGGGUCCUGGCAGGGGCCAGGGGCCAGGGUGGAGACUUGGCAGUGGGGGUGGGUUUGGUGUCCCCACAGACGAGUUUGCCGUGAGCAUUCCUGGAUGUGGCAACCUCAGUCUCAAGAAGAGCGACAGGACGCCAGCUCCCAUGCAGAGACAGAUCCAGCUUCUUGCAUGACUGCCUGAAAUCCGCCUCCUGUCAGAUCAGCAGGGGCAUUGGAUUAUGAUAGGAGUGAGAACACCAUUGUGGACUGCGCAUGCCAGGGAUCUAGGUUCCGCGCUCCUUAUGAGAAUCUGAUGCCUGAUGAUCUGUCACUGUCUCCCAUCACCCCCAGAUGGGACUGUCUAGUUGAAGAAAAACAAGUUCAGGGCUCCCACUGAUGCUACGUUACGAGAUGAAAAGUACACUGAAUGGAAUUUGCAGCAGAUUACACACUGCAGACCACAGAUUAAUGAAUUU